UAGAGUUUGAUCCUGGCUCAGAACGAACGUUAGCGGCGCGCCUAACACAUGCAAGUCGAGCGCGAAAGGGCUUCGGCCCCGGUACAGCGGCGCACGGGUGAGUAACACGUAGGUAAUCUACCCCCGAAUGGUGGAUAACCCUCCGAAAGGAGGGCUAAUACAGCAUAAGACCACGGCUUCCUCGGAGGCUGAGGCCAAAGCGGGCCACUUUACAAAAGCUCGCGUUUGGGGAUGAGCCUGCGGCCCAUCAGCUAGUUGGCGGUGUAAUAGACCACCAAGGCUAAGACGGGUAGCUGGUCUGAGAGGAUGAACAGCCACACUGGAACUGAGACACGGUCCAGACUCCUACGGGAGGCAGCAGUGGGGAAUCUUGGGCAAUGGGCGAAAGCCUGACCCAGCCACGCCGCGUGAGUGAUGAAGGCCUUCGGGUCGUAAAGCUCUGUGGGGAGGGACGAACAAGUCCGGAUUAAAUAUUUCCGGGCCCUGACGGUACCUCCUUAGCAAGCACCGGCUAACCAUGUGCCAGCAGCCGCGGUA
Molecule: ribosomal RNA, 537 nt
Filed under: uncultured bacterium
Lineage: Bacteria
Description: bacterial SSU rRNA
Rfam family: Bacterial small subunit ribosomal RNA
Source: RNAcentral